This 406-nucleotide ribosomal RNA is filed under the name uncultured bacterium. RNAcentral's name for it is "partial 16S ribosomal RNA". It matches the Rfam family "Bacterial small subunit ribosomal RNA", at positions 30 to 526 of the family's 1533-position model. The record is from RNAcentral.
AUUGAACGCUGGCGGCAGGCCUAACACAUGCAAGUCGAACGAGUGGCGGACGGGUGAGUAAUGUCUGGGAAACUGCCUGAUGGAGGGGGAUAACUACUGGAAACGGUAGCUAAUACCGCAUACCAUCGGAUGUGCCCAGAUGGGAUUAGCUAGUUGGUGGGGUAAAGGCUCACCAAGGCAACGAUCCGUAGCUGGUUUGAGAGGACGACCAGCCACACUGGGACUGAGACACGGCCCAGACUCCUACGGUAGGCAGCAGUGGGGAAUUUUGGACAAUGGGGGAAACCCUGAUCCAGCCAUCCCGCGUGUAUGAUGAAGGCCUUCGGGUUGUAAAGGACUUUUGGCAGAGAAGCGGUAUCUGCAGAAUAAGCACCGGCUAACUACGUGCCAGCAGCCGCGGUAAUAC